UACGUAGGGGGCAAGCGUUGUCCGGAUUUAUUGGGCGUAAAGAGCGUGUAGGCGGCCAGACAGGUCUGCUGUGAAAACUCGAGGCUCAACCUCGAGACGCCGGUGGAAACCGUCUGGCUAGAGUCCGGAAGAGGAGAGUGGAAUUCCUGGUGUAGCGGUGAAAUGCGCAGAUAUCAGGAGGAACACCCGUAGCGAAGGCGGCACUCUGGGCCGGAACUGACGCUGAGGAGCGAAAGCGUGGGGAGCAAACAGG
RNAcentral lists this ribosomal RNA (253 nucleotides) under uncultured bacterium. RNAcentral's name for it is "partial 16S ribosomal RNA". It matches the Rfam family "Bacterial small subunit ribosomal RNA", at positions 524 to 776 of the family's 1533-position model. The record is from RNAcentral.